GAUGAACGCUGGCGGCGUGCUUAACACAUGCAAGUCGAACGGUGAAGGCGGAGCUUGCUCUGCUGGAUCAGUGGCGAACGGGUGAGUAACACUUGAGCAAUCUGCCCCUGACUCUGGGAUAAGCGCUGGAAACGGCGUCUAAUACUGGAUACGAGCUGCGAAGGCAUCUUCAGCAGCUGGAAAGAACUUCGGUCAGGGAUGAGCUCGCGGCCUAUCAGCUUGUUGGUGAGGUAACGGCUCACCAAGGCGUCGACGGGUAGCCGGCCUGAGAGGGUGACCGGCCACACUGGGACUGAGACACGGCCCAGACUCCUACGGGAGGCAGCAGUGGGGAAUAUUGCACAAUGGGCGAAAGCCUGAUGCAGCAACGCCGCGUGAGGGACGACGGCCUUCGGGUUGUAAACCUCUUUUAGCAGGGAAGAAGCGAAAGUGACGGUACCUGCAGAAAAAGCGCCGGCUAACUACGU
Molecule: ribosomal RNA, 467 nt
Filed under: uncultured bacterium
Lineage: Bacteria
Description: partial 16S ribosomal RNA
Rfam family: Bacterial small subunit ribosomal RNA
Source: RNAcentral